CUGGGCUUUGUGUCUGGAUGCACGGGGUAUUCCUAACAGAAAGGAACUGGAGGAGGCUGGUAGGAACGUGCUAUCCUCUCCUGUGCGUCUGACUUUCAGAAGGCAGUGAUACCCCCAGCCAGUCCCUAACUGAAGAGAAGAGGAUCUCCCAGUGUGUUUUUGGACAAGAGCUCCCACAGAUGCCUAGAAAUGCCCCUUUUGGCUUUCUGCUUCUCUGGGGCAGGAGCAUGAUGCCAAAGCAGGGUGCUGGUGCUGCCUGACACCAAGGCUUCCCUGGCUAACAGACGAACAGAGCCUUGGAGGCACGGAGACACCAAUCAUUUAGCCACUAAAAAGGGUUGGUUCGGACUAAAGCUGCCAAUCUAAGUCAGCAGAGAGUCAUAGCAGGAUUUCAGACAGCAGGGUUAAAGCUGAGUACGAUGGAGCUCAUGUGGCUGGCUUCAGACAAGGGCUUUGGAGGAAGGUUCUUCAUCUGGCCAUGACAACCAAACCACCAGCAGUAUUCACUUUGGACGAAUCCAAAAUGAACCAAGCUGACCUUCUUUUCGGUUUGAUUAAUGCAAUGAAGCAUUUCAUUAUUUCUAAAUAAUAAGCUGAGCUGUGCUGGGUGCCAGCCUGACCUGCUGCUGCUGCAGCCCCAGCCCAGCUCCCUGAGUUCUCCUGCACCCCAACAUCCGAGCCCCACAGCUCACAGGGUGAUGGCACACUGACGGCGUUGGCCAAAAUGCCCCGGUUGCAGCUUUACGGGAAGAACAAAGUCAGCCUGGGGCAGCCAGAGUGGGGAUGGAGAGCAGAAAGAACCACGGUUGAGUUUUAUUCAAAUUAAUUUAAACUGCUGAAAAGACCGAGGGCCAACGGGGAAGAGAAGAUGAAACAGCUUUGCUUUUGGCCCUCAUUUCACUCCUCUCCCCUUUAAGCCCUCCUCCUAGCAGCGCAUGUCCCCCCUGCCACAGCCAUGGCAUAAGAGCCCAUGGACUGAAAGAAGCAGACGAGCAGCAGCAGAGCAAGCGUGUGAAACCCAAACCAGGCUUCCUUAGGGCCUGAGGCCUCAGGUAUCAUUGGAAAGGAGCAAAAGCUGCUCGUGGUUGUUUCUCGUCUCCCCUAGCAUGGGCUUUUUUAUUGUUUAUAAGGAAAAAUCAGCCCAGCUGGGUGUGCUUUACAAGGAAUGGCCCCCAGGAGGAUUUUAGAUUUUAGACCGUAAGGCAUGGGGAGAACAAAAAAAAUCCUUAAACCAUUCAAAGCUUCGAAGCAAACCAUUUGACAGAGCCUCUGCGAUGGUGGCUGCUGACAGCAGAGGGGGUCCUUGGGCUGUUUUUCCUCCACCUCCGCGGCGGAACCCGACGUCCGUGCUCGGGAAGCGGCUGCAACGAUGGAGCCGCGGAACAGCUGUGCCUGGAACGGGGUCUGCGGGGGCACUUCGGCCCAAAGGCCCUGGCUGGGAGAGGAAGGUCUCACCCUCAUCCUCAGCUGCAACCGAAGCCCAUCUCUGGCCGCAGGUAGCCGCAGUGCUGCUCGGAGCAGAGCGGGGCUCACACCCCGCCCAGUGCCAUCACAUCCCCUGUCCCCUUGAAGACGGCGGCCUCCGUGGCAAGAGGCAGAGCUGGUUAACCGUGCACCUUUUAUAAAUGGCUUUAGCUCCUGGGGGCGGAAGGUGCUCUGUGAGGCUAAAAGAUUAAAAGUAGCCUGGAUUCUUCAUUAAACAUCGGUGAUCAUCGUCACGUUUGCUGUCAGAUGUUUCGGCGUCGCUGUUCCGCUCUGGGAGGGAAGGUAUCUUUAGGCUGCUUUCCUAAGGCGGAGGCCCCGGGGUCACGCAGUCUGUCUGUCUGUCUGUCUGUCCUCACCAACCUGGGAACCUCCCGCCUCGCUCUGGCUGAAGUUUGCACGGCGCUGGGAGCAGUGAGUGUUGGCUGAAGGACAACUUUUACCUCAUCUGCAAAACAGGAUGUUCCAAAACCAGACCUGAUUUUCCGCCGUGAGAACCUCGGGCAAAUAUCAAAGCACCAGGCUCCUGGAGGGGAAACAGAAGGAUCACGGUGGCACAACGUAUGCCUAAAGCCGCCCCGAAGUAGUCUUGCUGCUCCAGAAGCAGGCCUCCAGCGUUGGGUGAGGUCUCACCCUGGAGGUCCACCAUCCCUGGAGGUGCCCAAGGCCAGGUUGGAUGGGCCCUGGGCAGCCUGAGCUGGGGGGGUCAGCCCUGCCCACGGCAG
Molecule: long non-coding RNA, 2207 nt
Organism: Gallus gallus (chicken)
Lineage: Eukaryota; Metazoa; Chordata; Aves; Galliformes; Phasianidae
Source: Ensembl